RNAcentral lists this ribosomal RNA (495 nucleotides) under uncultured bacterium. Its description in RNAcentral is "partial 16S ribosomal RNA". It matches the Rfam family "Bacterial small subunit ribosomal RNA", at positions 28 to 507 of the family's 1533-position model. The record is from RNAcentral.
GACGAACGCUGGCGGCGUGCCUAAUACAUGCAAGUAGAACGCUGAAGGCGGAGCUUGCUUCUCUGGAUGAGUUGCGAACGGGUGAGUAACGCGUAGGUAACCUGCCUGGUAGCGGGGGAUAACUAUUGGAAACGAUAGCUAAUACCGCAUAAGAGUAGAUGUUGCAUGACAUUUGCUUAAAAGUUGCAAUUGCAUCACUACCAGAUGGACCUGCGUUGUAUUUGCUAGUUGGUGGGGUAUCGGCUUACUAUGGCGACGAUACAUAGCCGACCGGUGACGGGGGGCGGCCAGACUGGGACGGAGACACGGCCCAGAGGCCUACGGGAGGCAGCAGGAGGGAAUCGUCGGCAAUGGACGGAAGUCUUACCGAGAAACGCCGCGUGAGGGAAGAAGGAUGUCGGAUCGGAAAGCUCUGUUGUAAGGGAAGAACGAGUGUGAGAGUGGAAAGUUCACACUGUGACGGUAUCUGACCAGAAAGCGACGGCUAACUACGUG